RNAcentral lists this unclassified non-coding RNA (388 nucleotides) under soil metagenome. RNAcentral's name for it is "partial contains 5.8S ribosomal RNA, internal transcribed spacer 2, and large subunit ribosomal RNA". The stretch from base 1 to 120 matches the Rfam family "5.8S ribosomal RNA", at positions 35 to 154 of the family's 154-position model. The record is from RNAcentral.
GAUGAAGAACGCAGCGAAAUGCGAUAAGUAAUGUGAAUUGCAGAAUUCAGUGAAUCAUCGAAUCUUUGAACGCACCUUGCGCUCCUUGGUAUUCCGAGGAGCAUGCCUGUUUGAGUGUCAUUAAAUUCUCAACCUCACCAGUUUUGUAACGAGACAGGUGAAGGCUUGGAUGUGGGGGUUUUGCAGGCUGCCUCAGUGCUGGUCUGCUCUCCUGAAAUGCAUUAGCGAGCUCAUAUUGAGCUUCCGUCUAUUGGUGUGAUAAUUAUCUACGCCGUGGAUUGGACUCAUGCUUGCUUCUAACCGUCCGCAAGGUCAAUUUACUUGACCAAUUUGACCUCAAAUCAGGUAGGACUACCCGCUGAACUUAAGCAUAUCAAUAAGCGGAGGA